RNAcentral lists this ribosomal RNA (496 nucleotides) under uncultured bacterium. RNAcentral's name for it is "bacterial SSU rRNA". It matches the Rfam family "Bacterial small subunit ribosomal RNA", at positions 28 to 478 of the family's 1533-position model. The record is from RNAcentral.
GAUGGACGCUGGCGGCGUGCCUAAUACAUGCAAGUCGAACGCAUUGUGGUUGAAAUGAUAUGAAGAACUUGUUCAGAUUUGAUUUUCAACAUUGCAAUGAGUGGCGAACGGGUGAGUAACACGUGGGAAACCUACCUCUUAGCAGGGGAUAACAUUUGGAAACAAAUGCUAAUACCGUAUAAUAAUUAAAACCGCAUGGUUUUAGUUUAAAAGAUGGUCUUGCUAUCACUAAGAGAUGGUCCCGCGGUGUAUUAGUUAGUUGGUGAGGUAAUGGCUCACCAAGACAAUGAUACAUAGCCGAGUUGAGAGACUGACCGGCCACAAUGGGACUGAGACACGGCCCAUACUCCUACGGGAGGCAGCAGUAGGGAAUCUUCCACAAUGGACGAAAGUCUGAUGGAGCAACGCCGCGUGUGUGAUGAAGGGUUUCGGCUCGUAAAACACUGUUGUAAGAGAAGAAUGACAUUGAGAGUAACUGUUCAAUGUGUGACGGUAU